This 465-nucleotide ribosomal RNA is filed under the name Vreelandella stevensii. Its description in RNAcentral is "partial 16S ribosomal RNA". It matches the Rfam family "Bacterial small subunit ribosomal RNA", at positions 338 to 795 of the family's 1533-position model. Lineage: Bacteria; Pseudomonadati; Pseudomonadota; Gammaproteobacteria; Oceanospirillales; Halomonadaceae. The record is from RNAcentral.
CCUACGGGGGGCUGCAGUGGGGAAUAUUGGACAAUGGGGGGAACCCUGAUCCAGCCAUGCCGCGUGUGUGAAGAAGGCCCUCGGGUUGUAAAGCACUUUCAGUGAGGAAGAACGCCUGGUGGUUAAUACCCAUCAGGAAAGACAUCACUCACAGAAGAAGCACCGGCUAACUCCGUGCCAGCAGCCGCGGUAAUACGGAGGGUGCGAGCGUUAAUCGGAAUUACUGGGCGUAAAGCGCGCGUAGGUGGCUUGAUAAGCCGGUUGUGAAAGCCCCGGGCUCAACCUGGGAACGGCAUCCGGAACUGUCAAGCUAGAGUGCAGGAGAGGAAGGUAGAAUUCCCGGUGUAGCGGUGAAAUGCGUAGAGAUCGGGAGGAAUACCAGUGGUGAAGGCGGCCUUCUGGACUUACACUGACACUGAGGUGCGAAAGCGUGGGUAGCAAACAGGAUUAGAUACCCUAGUAGUC